This is a long non-coding RNA of Passer domesticus (house sparrow), 2817 nucleotides long. RefSeq lists it as uncharacterized. Lineage: Eukaryota; Metazoa; Chordata; Aves; Passeriformes; Passeridae. The transcript has 3 exons. The record is from RefSeq and is a predicted model, not a curated record.
ACUUCCCUGUGCCUCUGCAGUGUGAUGCAAGGAAGAUUUUGAUUAUUUUUAUACGGACUUAGAGAAAUAUUGAUGGAUUAACAUGCCAGUUCUUAGGUUUCUCUUCCUUGCUCUUGACAUACACAGGCAGUGGCUUGCAAAAGGGUAGGAGAAGAGGAUUUUGCUUCUUCAGUUUAAUUGGAUAUUAGGAAAAAUUAAUUAUUUCAGCCCACUGUAAGGGCUGUCAAGCAUUGGAACAGGCUGCCCAGUUAAGUGGUAGAGUGACUAUCCCUGGAAGUGCUCAAAAAAUGUGUGGAUGUUGCACUUGGGGACAUGGGUUAGGGGUGGGCUUGCCAGUGCUGGGUUAAUGCUUGGACUUGAUGAUUUUAGAGGGCUUUUCCAACCUUCAUGAAUUCUACUCCAGACAUAAGACAGCUCACCACUCUUGAAAUCAGGACUGUAAAGCUGCUUAAUAAAAUUUUCUUGCUGAUCAUGCCUAGGUCAAAUUCCCUGGAACCCAGGGCAAAUUCUCCACAGGCAGUUUCCACAUCUGCCACACACAUUGGAGAAUGUAUGGACAGCACAAACCCAUUCAGCAGAAGACAAAUUGUGCUACUCCUGUGCCAUUUAUCAUUUCAGCUGAGUUCUGUAUUCCUUGGAGACUCCUUUUAAAAGAGGAGGAAUCAUAUUAAUUAAUUUCUCCUCUUGGGCUGAAUGAUAAAAGCCUAAGAACAAACAGAGUGUGGCAUUUUGUGUUCUGGAGGCACAGCCCCACUUACCAUGCCCAGAAAUAUCAUUUCCUCCUCUCUCAGCCUCUCUGUUUUCUUGCGCUGGCUGUGCCCACGCCAGACCUGGAUUGUAAACAAAACUCUGAUGAGAUAAAUGGGCCUUGGUACAGCUUCCUUUUCUGGGGCAGACACAGGAAAAAACAAAUAGAGGAAGGAAAGGCACAAUAUACCAUUGAAACUAUUGCUUUUUAACAGAUAUGGGAUGAACUCUUCCCCUGGAGAUCACAGAAAAAGGCACGAAUUCAGAGAUGCACUGAAUUCCAAGAGGAGGCCAGAAAGAGCAACUGAGGUCAUAAAAAUCAGAAUGGAAAAACAACGUCAGUGCCACGGACACUGCAGAGCUCCAGUUGGUUACACAGCAGCCAGGAUUUCCUGAGAGGACGAGGCGCAGAAGUGCUGACAGCCCUGCAGCAAUCCCAGUGGUGAGUGAGCUGGAAGUGCAGCACAGGACACUGGAUUUGCACGGGGUGAGGUGAUUUUAUUGCUGUUUAUUGAAUCCCCUGGCUCCCUGUAGGGCCUGGACCCUGUCAGAGCCUGGUGCUCUGGCUGAGCUGGCUGCUCACCAGACAACCUCAUCCCUAAUGGAUGCCACGCUGGAAAGGUGCAAGAGCAGAACUCUGGGAAGCAAAAAGGUUCCAGGAUAAACUGUGCUGAAACAGGAUCUCCCCAGAGCAAGAUCAGGAGAGCAGAGAACUCAAACAGGGGAGCUCUGCAGCUGCCCAGCAAGGCCUCCAGCAGGGAAGCCUGUGCUCUGUCUCUGCAGUCUGCCUGGGGCUGCUUCCAUCCCUGGGGACUUUCCCUCUGUUACUUUUUGGGAUCAACAGGCACAAUCACUGCUGGAGAGUUCAGGGCAGCAGUGUGACUAAGUGGGCCAUCAGCACUGUCUCUUAUGGCUACAACAUCCAUGAAUCCAAGUUGUCCAGGCAUGCAGGCACAGUUGUUUACUUCAGGGGUCAACAUGCCCCUCCCAAAAGGUCAAAAGUAUAUCAAACCCAGAGCAGCCUUCAUUGCAGCACUCGUGUACUUGUCUGCAAUGACUUUUGCUCUGCCAAAACUCAGUUUUCUGCUCCUCCCAGCAGCUGCAGCUCUGUAGCUGCACAGGGGAAAUGGCACUCAUUGUUCAGAGGUUAUAAACAAGUGAAUGCCAACAGUUGUGCUGACCUGAACUCUGAGUUCUGCCUGCUCCAGUGAGGAAUCCUGGCCCAGGACAGCUUGGUUUCAGUAGAGAUGCCUCAGGUUUUAGCUUUUAUAUUUUUCACAUUCUGUGCUGCUUUAGUGUGUGGGUCUGGGCUGCAUAUGAGGGGAUGGUGAACUCUCUGCACAGAGUAGGGAGACAAAACAAUUCCUUCUCUAGCUGGGGAACAAGGACAAAUGAUCCAAAUCUCAGGCCCAAGAGCACAAACAACAUGGACUGAAGAGAGAAAGACAAGAAGGAUGGGACUGCAUGGGCUAAAACUGUAAUUGGACAAUUAAACUCCAAUAUGUAAAUGGAGCAGAACUCAUAAAAGUGAGAGACCCUGUGACCAGUUGUCCAUUUUGUGACCAUUUUGGUCCAUCCUGGGUGCAGCCCUGGCUGGGCUCUUGUGCUGCCCAAGGUGGAUCCACUGAGGAAAUCCUUUUAACAAAUCCCUGCUUUAUUCUUUAACUCCAUCUAGCCUCUGUUCUAGGUCAGCCUUCACAAGGCAUCAGGAGGACUAAUUACAUGAUGAGGGUUAGUCAGACAAAUAAAGCACUGACUUGGCCAAAGUGCUGCUUUCUGACACUCACAUACAGUAGGAUCAUUCCAGUCUUACCCAGCCUUGAGAUGUGACUGGAUGCUGUUUGACAGGGAAAUCUAAGGUUUCUUUCUGCUCGUGCCUUAUCUGUAAACACACUUUUACUUCCUCACUGCUGUAAAAGCACUUCUCACUUCAGUGUCUCGUGUUCAGACACAUGUGGCUGUGAACUAAACAAACCAAACACAAUAUGUAGGUGUGGGGUACACUUACCUGUUCUAGCAAACCAGCAUUCAGCAAAAUCUCCUGCAGGUAUUUCUCCCUGUCCUGCAGGA